Molecule: ribosomal RNA, 663 nt
Filed under: Triticum aestivum (bread wheat)
Lineage: Eukaryota; Viridiplantae; Streptophyta; Magnoliopsida; Poales; Poaceae
Description: partial small subunit ribosomal RNA
Source: RNAcentral
AUGCCAGCUUUAAUUUGGUGCAAAAAGUCUACUACUACUAAUUGGUUGGCACGUUGUGCUUUAUGGCACAAUACAAUACACACUAAUUGCACCUCCACCUCCUCCUCGGCUGCAACGAGUCAUUCCUCCUUUUCCUCCUCCUCGUCGUCAGGUACAGGUCCCUUCUCGGCUGGAUACCUCAAGGUCCACGCCUGCAGGGACAUGGACAACAUGGAGGUCGUCGUGCUCGACCUCGACAGAAACAACAUGAAGAAGAAGAAGAAGAAGCUCCCCCGGGCGGCCUCCGCCGCUCCACGUUCACUGUUGUUGCCAAGAACGCCCCCGUCUCUGUCCGUGGUCAUAUCUCCGACGAAGAAGAAGCAUGGCAGCAGCAGCAACAACCGCCGUAUAGCUCCGGCGACGACAGCGGCAGCGAGGCGCGUGCGGCCGCUGCCCACUCGAGCGCCGCCUUCCAGAACAGUGGCAGGAGGCUCGGCGUCUUGCAAGAAUAAGAAGAGGCCUUCGUCGUCAUCUUCUUCCUCGUCGUGCCGAUCAGCAGGAGAUUCAGCCGGGAGGAGGAAGAGCGCCUGGGCAACGGCGGGCCACGCCGGCGGUGGGGCUGGCGAAUUGGUGGAUGACCUCAAUAACCCCCUCAUGUCUAUGGACUGCUUCAUCUUCCUCUGA